Molecule: non-coding RNA, 224 nt
Organism: Schizosaccharomyces pombe (fission yeast)
Lineage: Eukaryota; Fungi; Ascomycota; Schizosaccharomycetes; Schizosaccharomycetales; Schizosaccharomycetaceae
Source: the annotation of a GenBank genome assembly
UAUCUAAUAUCGCUAUACAAUAGCUCUCAAAGUAAUGCACCACUACUACAACUUAAGUUCUUCACUUUUUGAGUAAGGAUGCAAACUAUGAGACCGGGUUUUUUUAGCUCAAAUGUCGCUGAAAAGCGUUUUCUUUAUAGUUUUAUCAUGAAUGAUCUCAUAUAUUGAUAAGUAGCAAUCGUGUCUUUCCAUGUCGAAGCCUCAAAACAUUAUAUCCAUAUAAU